Salmo salar (Atlantic salmon) is the source of this 54-nucleotide non-coding RNA. Lineage: Eukaryota; Metazoa; Chordata; Actinopteri; Salmoniformes; Salmonidae. The record is from Rfam.
AUUUUUUACAUUUGUAAGUCGCUCUGGAUAAGAGUGUCUGCUAAAUGAUGUAAA